UACGUAGGGCGCAAGCGUUAUCCGGAAUUAUUGGGCGUAAAGAGCUCGUAGGCGGUUUGUUGCGUCGGCUGUGAAAUCCCGAGGCUCAACCUCGGGUCUGCAGUCGAUACGAGCAAACUAGAGUGUUGCAGGGGAGACUGGAAUUCCUGGUGUAGCGGUGAAAUGCGCAGAUAUCAGGAAGAACACCCGUGGCGAAGGCGGCUCUCUGGGACGGUACUGACGCUGAGACGCGAAAGCGUGGGGAGCGAACAGG
This 253-nucleotide ribosomal RNA is filed under the name uncultured bacterium. Its description in RNAcentral is "partial 16S ribosomal RNA". It matches the Rfam family "Bacterial small subunit ribosomal RNA", at positions 524 to 776 of the family's 1533-position model. The record is from RNAcentral.